CUGUGCUGGGCAUCCAUCCCGAGGGAGACCUGAGGAUCGCAUGCGCCAGUCCCAGCCGACUUCCUCAAUCCCAGGCUGUUCUGCUCCCCACAAGUCCUCAUCAUGAUAACUAAGAGAUAACUCUUAGCAUGCUCUCCAGGAACCCCAGGAAGACCUUGCUAAUCAAGGUGUGGUUAGCCCCAUCAGCAUCACCUGGGAGCCUGGAAGCAACGCAGAAUCUCCGCUCCACCCCAGAGCUACUGGAUCUCCAGCUGAUCCACACGCACACUUAGUCUGAGACAUGCUGGUGUAGGAGAAGCUCCUUAUUCGAGGGUGGUAUGUGUCUGCCUCAGGGCCCAGACUGUGAGCCCCUUGAUGGCAGAAUGAUGUACAGUGUUCACCAGUGUUCACCCUGCACAUCCACUGUCUAGAGAGCAUCAGGCAUAUAGUAGAUGCUCAAUCAUCAUCCUGCAGGACUUUGCAAACAGCUUCUCCGGAUGGACGGAUGGAUGCGGCUGCUCCCUCCUCCCUGCACACUUUCUAUUCCCAGCCCUGAGCCUCCGCCAGGGUUCCUCAGGAAAAUUGGCUGAAAGAGACAUUUUCCAUACUCUUGACUCCUCUGCUGGGUAGCUGUCCCUGCCUCCACUCUCUCCAGCCCGUCACCAGGACCCAGAAGGAGGGGAAAUACUUGGUCAACUGGUUGCUGCUUCCUGACCCCUUAAUUCUGUAUGCCAUUUUAUCUUCAUGGGCCUCAGUUUCUUAAUCUAUGAAAUGAGCUAGCUACCCUGAGAAGCAGGCUUGGGAGUCAGGCUUUUUUUUAGAUUUUAUUUUUAAGUAAUCUCUACACCCAACAUGGGGCUCAAAUCCACAACCCCUAGAUCAAGAGUUGCAUGCUCUACCAACGGAGCCAGCCAGGCGCUCCAGGAGUCAGACAUUCCUGAUUUAAUCCUUAGCUCACUAACUGUGAGCUACUGUGUGACUUUGGACAAGAUCCUCAACAUCUUGGAGGCUCAGUUUUCCCCAUCUGUAGAUAGUGUUCUCUCUUACUGUUGUGAGGAUUAAUGAAAUAAGCUGAGGAAAGGAUUUAGCUCAGCACUUUGCACAUGGCAAGUGUCAAUGAGUACCUAUUUUUUAAUUAAUUAAUUAAUUAAUCAAUCAGAGCCUACUUGGUGCCAGAUGCUGUGUUAGGGGCUUUAUGUACCCGAUUUCUAAUCCAUACAAGACCUGUGCAAAGUGCUUGUCAUCCCCUUUGUAAAACUGAGGGUCCAAAGUUUCAGAGAAGCUAAGUAACACGUUCAAGGUCACAGAUAUCAAAUGGCUGAGCCAGAGGGAUUCAAACUCAGAUCUGACUCAUUCCGGCUUUCCUAUUCUAACCAAGGCUCUGGUAAGUAGAAGAAAGAACACCCCCCUGCUUCAGGCAUAUAAUGAAGAGCAGAAUGGCUUUGGCUGAGAUUUUAAUCCAGCCCUUACAAACUGUAAUUUCAAAGCUUCAACUGGGGUUUUGGGCAGCUAAGGGGCACAGUCAUUGAGAGGAAUAUUGUUUAAUUUUGUUACAAUUAGGGAAAUGCAAAGUAAGCAAUGAGGCAUCUUCGUUUCCAACCUUCCCUCAUCCUGUGCCCAAGAAAAUGUCAAACGAGAAAAAACUAGUGAUAUCUAAUGUGGUUCAUGGUGUGGGGAAUUGGGCAUUUUUAGUUUGAAUAUAAACAAAAGCAGUCCUUUUGGAGGGCAAUUUGGCAGCGUCUGACAAAACAUAAAA
Molecule: long non-coding RNA, 1735 nt
Organism: Zalophus californianus (California sea lion)
Lineage: Eukaryota; Metazoa; Chordata; Mammalia; Carnivora; Otariidae
Exons: 4
Source: RefSeq, a predicted model, not a curated record